RNAcentral lists this ribosomal RNA (465 nucleotides) under uncultured bacterium. RNAcentral describes it as "partial 16S ribosomal RNA". It matches the Rfam family "Bacterial small subunit ribosomal RNA", at positions 29 to 507 of the family's 1533-position model. The record is from RNAcentral.
ACGAACGCUGGCGGCGUGCUUAACACCUGCAAGUCGCACGGAAAGGCCUCUUUCGGGGGGUACUCGAGUGGCGAACGGGUGAGUAACACGUGAGUAACCUGCCCUUGACUUUGGGAUAACUUCAGGAAACUGGGGCUAAUACCGGAUAGGAGCUCCUGCUGCAUGGUGGGGGUUGGAAAGUUUCGGCGGUUGGGGAUGGACUCGCGGCUUAUCAGCUUGUUGGUGGGGUAGUGGCUUACCAAGGCUUUGACGGGUAGCCGGCCUGAGAGGGUGACCGGCCACAUUGGGACUGAGAUACGGCCCAGACUCCUACGGGAGGCAGCAGUGGGGAAUAUUGCACAAUGGGUGGAAGCCUGAUGCAGCAACGCCGUGUGCGGGAUGACGGCCUUCGGGUUGUAAACCGCUUUCGCCUGUGACGAAGCGUGAGUGACGGUAAUGGGUAAAGAAGCACCGGCUAACUACGUG